GCAAGUCGAACGAUGAAGCCUAGCUUGCUAGGUGGAUUAGUGGCGCACGGGUGAGUAAUAUAUAGGUAACGUGCCUCUUAGUCUGGGAUAGCCAUUGGAAACGAUGAUUAAUACUAGAUACUCCUUCUCAUUAUAAUAUGAGUCGGGAAAGUUUUUCGCUAAGAGAUCGGCCUAUUUCCCAUCAGCUUGUUGGUAGUGUAAGAGACUACCAAGGCAAUGACGGGUAGCGGGUUUGAGAGGAUGAUC
Molecule: ribosomal RNA, 246 nt
Filed under: uncultured bacterium
Lineage: Bacteria
Description: partial 16S ribosomal RNA
Rfam family: Bacterial small subunit ribosomal RNA
Source: RNAcentral